Molecule: long non-coding RNA, 396 nt
Organism: Dreissena polymorpha
Lineage: Eukaryota; Metazoa; Mollusca; Bivalvia; Myida; Dreissenidae
Exons: 2
Source: RefSeq, a predicted model, not a curated record
CGAGUGUUGAGGGCCGUCUCCGAAUCAGUCAUACUGUGCAGUUUUUGAUGGCCUGUCACUUCAGCCGGACUUGUAAACCAAUUGGACAGCAGUUCAGGCAGAGCUAUAGACUAAUUCCGACACCACCUAAAAAUGUACAUUUAGGUUUACGUAUAAUAUUGAGGUCACUUAAAUACAGAUUCCCUGCUGUUUUUCACGCACGGUCUAUCACAACAACAUCGUUCCAAGAAAGAAAGCAUAAUAUUAUUAUCCUUUUUGUGUUUUCAGCUGAAUACUUGAUUUAACUUGAACUCAGCAAGAUAUCCAAACAGGAAAAAUAAGGCAAAGUAGUGUUAUUCUGAGUAGAUCUGCCUGGCGGGAUUGAAAGCGAAGGCAGAUAGCAGUGUCGGUCCAAAA